Molecule: ribosomal RNA, 465 nt
Filed under: uncultured bacterium
Lineage: Bacteria
Description: partial 16S ribosomal RNA
Rfam family: Bacterial small subunit ribosomal RNA
Source: RNAcentral
GACGAACGCUGGCGGCGUGCUUAACACAUGCAAGUCGAACGGAAAGGCCCUGCUUGCAGGGUACUCGAGUGGCGAACGGGUGAGUAACACGUGGGUGAUCUGCCCUGCACUUCGGGAUAAGCCUGGGAAACUGGGUCUAAUACCGGAUAGGAGCCAUUUUUAGUGUGAUGGUUGGAAAGUUUUUUCGGUGUAGGAUGAGCUCGCGGCCUAUCAGCUUGUUGGUGGGGUAAUGGCCUACCAAGGCGGCGGCGGGUAGCCGGCCUGGGAGGGUGGACGGCCACAUUGGGACUGAGGUACGGCCCAGGCUCCUACGGGGGGCAGCAGUGGGGAAUAUUGCACAAUGGGCGCAAGCCUGAUGCAGCGACGCCGCGUGGGGGAUGACGGCCUUCGGGUUGUAAACUCCUUUCGCUAGGGACGAAGCUUUUUGUGACGGUACCUAGAUAAGAAGCACCGGCUAACUACGUG